Molecule: ribosomal RNA, 275 nt
Filed under: uncultured bacterium
Lineage: Bacteria
Description: partial 16S ribosomal RNA
Rfam family: Bacterial small subunit ribosomal RNA
Source: RNAcentral
GCGUGAGUGAAGAAGGCCUUAGGGUUGUAAAGCUCUUUCAAUCGUGAAGAUGAUGACGGUAGCGAUAGAAGAAGCCCCGGCUAACUCCGUGCCAGCAGCCGCGGUAAUACGGAGGGGGCUAGCGUUGUUCGGAAUUACUGGGCGUAAAGCGCACGUAGGCGGCGUAUCAAGUCAGUGGUGAAAGGCCUGGGCUUAACCUGGGAACUGCCAUUGAGACUGAUAUGCUUGAGUUCGGAAGAGGGUGGCGGAAUUCCAAGUGUAGAGGUGAAAUUCGU